GCCCGGAUAGCUCAGUCGGAUAGAGCAGGGGAUUGAAAAUCCCCGUGUCCUUGGUUCGAUUCCGAGUCCGGGCACCA
Molecule: transfer RNA, 77 nt
Filed under: Klebsiella ornithinolytica
Lineage: Bacteria; Pseudomonadati; Pseudomonadota; Gammaproteobacteria; Enterobacterales; Enterobacteriaceae
Description: Raoultella ornithinolytica tRNA-Phe(gaa)
Rfam family: tRNA
About the family: Transfer RNA (tRNA) molecules are approximately 80 nucleotides in length. Their secondary structure includes four short double-helical elements and three loops (D, anti-codon, and T loops). Further hydrogen bonds mediate the characteristic L-shaped molecular structure. tRNAs have two regions of fundamental functional importance: the anti-codon, which is responsible for specific mRNA codon recognition, and the 3' end, to which the tRNAs corresponding amino acid is attached (by aminoacyl-tRNA synthetases). tRNAs cope with the degeneracy of the genetic code in two manners: having more than one tRNA (with a specific anti-codon) for a particular amino acid; and 'wobble' base-pairing, i.e. permitting non-standard base-pairing at the 3rd anti-codon position.
Source: RNAcentral